Molecule: ribosomal RNA, 542 nt
Filed under: Aspergillus flavus
Lineage: Eukaryota; Fungi; Ascomycota; Eurotiomycetes; Eurotiales; Aspergillaceae
Description: eukaryotic LSU rRNA
Rfam family: 5.8S ribosomal RNA (bases 180-333)
Source: RNAcentral
AGUGUAGGGUUCCUAGCGAGCCCAACCUCCCACCCGUGUUUACUGUACCUUAGUUGCUUCGGCGGGCCCGCCAUUCAUGGCCGCCGGGGGCUCUCAGCCCCGGGCCCGCGCCCGCCGGAGACACCACGAACUCUGUCUGAUCUAGUGAAGUCUGAGUUGAUUGUAUCGCAAUCAGUUAAAACUUUCAACAAUGGAUCUCUUGGUUCCGGCAUCGAUGAAGAACGCAGCGAAAUGCGAUAACUAGUGUGAAUUGCAGAAUUCCGUGAAUCAUCGAGUCUUUGAACGCACAUUGCGCCCCCUGGUAUUCCGGGGGGCAUGCCUGUCCGAGCGUCAUUGCUGCCCAUCAAGCACGGCUUGUGUGUUGGGUCGUCGUCCCCUCUCCGGGGGGGACGGGCCCCAAAGGCAGCGGCGGCACCGCGUCCGAUCCUCGAGCGUAUGGGGCUUUGUCACCCGCUCUGUAGGCCCGGCCGGCGCUUGCCGAACGCAAAUCAAUCUUUUUCCAGGUUGACCUCGGAUCAGGUAGGGAUACCCGCUGAACUUAA